Molecule: long non-coding RNA, 257 nt
Filed under: Nicotiana benthamiana
Lineage: Eukaryota; Viridiplantae; Streptophyta; Magnoliopsida; Solanales; Solanaceae
Description: long non-coding RNA (NBEN_LNC027867)
Source: RNAcentral
GAGGAUCUUACCUUUGCCUUUAACCGGGACUUUAGAGGAAUCUCCGAAGGUGAUAUUUCCACUUAUUGCCUCGUCUAACUCCACUAACAUGAUUUUGUCACCGCACAUAUGGUUGCUUGCACCCGUGUCAAGAUACCACAAAUUCGAUCCUCCAUUGUCUCCACCUUUGCAUGCUAGUAACAAAGUGUUUUCCACGGCUUCGGUAUCUUCUUGUGCAAAAUUUGCUCUUUCUUGCACGUAAUUGUUUGACUUCUNNN